RNAcentral lists this transfer RNA (73 nucleotides) under Hypsizygus marmoreus. RNAcentral's name for it is "tRNA-Lys". It matches the Rfam family "tRNA". Rfam says of the family: Transfer RNA (tRNA) molecules are approximately 80 nucleotides in length. The record is from RNAcentral. Lineage: Eukaryota; Fungi; Basidiomycota; Agaricomycetes; Agaricales; Lyophyllaceae.
GGAAACAGAACUCGAGUGGUUUGAGUGUCCCCCUUUUAAGGGGAAAGUUCUGGUUCGAGUCCAGGUGUUUUCA